GGGGAUUUAGCUCAGUGGUACCGCUGCCUGCCUCGAAAGCACAAGGACCUGAGUUCAAUCCCCAGGAUCCCCA
This 73-nucleotide transfer RNA is filed under the name Fukomys damarensis (Damara mole-rat). It matches the Rfam family "tRNA". From Rfam's summary of the family: Transfer RNA (tRNA) molecules are approximately 80 nucleotides in length. Their secondary structure includes four short double-helical elements and three loops (D, anti-codon, and T loops). Further hydrogen bonds mediate the characteristic L-shaped molecular structure. tRNAs have two regions of fundamental functional importance: the anti-codon, which is responsible for specific mRNA codon recognition, and the 3' end, to which the tRNAs corresponding amino acid is attached (by aminoacyl-tRNA synthetases). tRNAs cope with the degeneracy of the genetic code in two manners: having more than one tRNA (with a specific anti-codon) for a particular amino acid; and 'wobble' base-pairing, i.e. permitting non-standard base-pairing at the 3rd anti-codon position. Lineage: Eukaryota; Metazoa; Chordata; Mammalia; Rodentia; Bathyergidae. The record is from Rfam by way of RNAcentral.